AAAGGGGAAGCUUAAAGAUGUAAGCCGGUCAUUCCUAUACUUUUUUAGCAAUUUACCUUUUGAAUUGAUUGAACACCGCCUAAUGUCUGAAAAAAUGCAUCCUUGUUAUUAGCAAAGCCCGGAUGCUCAAUGAGUGCAUAUUCAUUGUCAGAAAUUUUUAGACUAUUCAUAAGAUAUAUGCCUAAUAUGGUAUGCUAUAAAACACUGGAAAAAGU
Non-coding RNA from Schizosaccharomyces pombe (fission yeast), 215 nucleotides. The record is from the annotation of a GenBank genome assembly. Lineage: Eukaryota; Fungi; Ascomycota; Schizosaccharomycetes; Schizosaccharomycetales; Schizosaccharomycetaceae.